CCAGAUAAGACAGCUGAAUGAUAGUCGGGCUGAAGACUCUACUUGACUAGCUGAGAGGAGGUGCAUGGCCGUCGUCAGUUCGUACUGUGAAGCAUCCUGUUAAGUCAGGCAACGAGCGAGACCCACGCCAACAGUUGCCAGCUCGUCCUCCGGGAUGGUGGGGACACUGUUGGGACCGCCUCUGCUAAAGAGGAGGAAGGAAUGGGCAACGGUAGGUCAGCAUGCCCCGAAUUAUCUGGGCUACACGCGGGCUACAAUGGGUGGGACAAUGGGUAUCGACACCGAAAGGUGAAGGCAAUCUCCUAAACCCAUCCGUAGUUCGGAUUGUGGGCUGCAACUCGCCCACAUGAAGCUGGAAUCCGUAGUAAUCGCGUUUCAAAAUAGCGCGGUGAAUAUGUCCCUGCUCCUU
RNAcentral lists this ribosomal RNA (409 nucleotides) under uncultured Methanomicrobiales archaeon. Its description in RNAcentral is "bacterial SSU rRNA". It matches the Rfam family "Archaeal small subunit ribosomal RNA", at positions 930 to 1338 of the family's 1478-position model. Lineage: Archaea; Methanobacteriati; Methanobacteriota; Methanomicrobia; Methanomicrobiales. The record is from RNAcentral.